CGUGAUACUUGUUUACAUGUAAGCGCGC
RNAcentral lists this small RNA (28 nucleotides) under Bombyx mori (domestic silkworm). RNAcentral's name for it is "ovarian small RNA-14572". The record is from RNAcentral. Lineage: Eukaryota; Metazoa; Arthropoda; Insecta; Lepidoptera; Bombycidae.